This 300-nucleotide unclassified non-coding RNA is filed under the name Hevea brasiliensis (rubber tree). Lineage: Eukaryota; Viridiplantae; Streptophyta; Magnoliopsida; Malpighiales; Euphorbiaceae. The record is from RNAcentral.
AACAUCAGGAUGCAAAACUCUUGCCAGUCUCCGAUAAGCAGCCUUGAUCUCUAGACACGUCGCGCCCGUCUGAAUCCCAAGGACUUCGUAUAGGGAUCCUGGCGAUGCAAUGUGGGAAUGUGUUGUUGUUCUCUCGGCAGUGGUGGAGCAAGCGGAGGAGACACGGAGUGGACGGAAGCUGACGCGAGGGGCUUGUGAACGGGAACCGUCGAUGGGCAAUCGUAAGCCAAUGAAAUGAGGAGAGGAGGAGCUGCGAGGGGCAAAAGAAGACGCGUAGGCCAUAUUCUAAUCAAAAUUCAG